UGCAAUUGCUGAUAUAGCUGUUUGCCUGCGCUGCUGAAAUAUUGCGUGCGCGGCGACUUCUAAAUUGGUAGCAUUUCCGUUACAGUCUAGAAAUCUCCUUACACACUUUGUUUUCUUAUUAGAGACAAAUUUGCUUUGGUCAGUGACUGUGUAAAAGCAGUUCUGCUGGCCAGAGGUUUUAACAAAACUCUUUUUCGUUUUCCCCUGGAAGAUUGAAAAUUUGUAUUAUUUAUUGUCAGUUAACAAAAGUUGCUUUGCAGCUUUUCUAAACUUUAAAACUUUCAACAACGGAUCUCUUGGUUCUCGCAUCGAUGAAGAACGCAGCGAAAUGCGAUAAGUAAUGUGAAUUGCAGAUUUUCGUGAAUCAUUGAAUCUUUGAACGCACAUUGCGCCCUCUGGUAUUCCAGAGGGCAUGCCUGUUUGAGCGUCAUUUCCCUCUCAAACCCUAGGGUUUGGUGAUGGGCAAUACUCUCGUAAGAGAGUUUGCUUGAAAUGUAUUGGCAUGAGUUUUUGAUACGAACUUUAGCUGUUUAUUCAAUGUAUUAGGUUUAAUCCAUCGUUGAUUGACAA
This 570-nucleotide unclassified non-coding RNA is filed under the name Ogataea sp. 1KUT28. RNAcentral's name for it is "sequence contains ITS1, 5.8S rRNA gene, ITS2". The stretch from base 277 to 430 matches the Rfam family "5.8S ribosomal RNA". The record is from RNAcentral. Lineage: Eukaryota; Fungi; Ascomycota; Pichiomycetes; Pichiales; Pichiaceae.